CCCAAAAGCGGAGGAAAAGAAACCAACAGGGAUUGCCUUAGUAGCGGCGAGUGAAGCGGCAAAAGCUCAAAUUUGAAAUCUGGCUCUUUCAGAGUCCGAGUUGUAAUUUGAAGAAGGUAUCUUUGGGUCUGGCUCUUGUCUAUGUUUCUUGGAACAGAACGUCACAGAGGGUGAGAAUCCCGUGCGAUGAGAUGAUCCAGGCCUAUGUAAAGUUCCUUCGAAGAGUCGAGUUGUUUGGGAAUGCAGCUCUAAGUGGGUGGUAAAUUCCAUCUAAAGCUAAAUAUUGGCGAGAGACCGAUAGCGAACAAGUACAGUGAUGGAAAGAUGAAAAGAACUUUGAAAAGAGAGUGAAAAAGUACGUGAAAUUGUUGAAAGGGAAGGGCUUGAGAUCAGACUUGGUAUUUUGUAUGUUACUUCUUCGGGGGUGGCCUCUACAGUUUAUCGGGCCAGCAUCAGUUUGGGCGGUAGGAGAAUUGCGUUGGAAUGUGGCACGGCUUCGGUUGUGUGUUAUAGCCUUCGUCGAUACUGCCAGCCUAGACUGAGGACUGCGGUUUAUACCUAGGAUGUUGCCAUAAUGAUCUUAAGUCGCCCGUCUUGAACCCA
Molecule: ribosomal RNA, 603 nt
Filed under: Candida tropicalis
Lineage: Eukaryota; Fungi; Ascomycota; Pichiomycetes; Serinales; Debaryomycetaceae
Description: eukaryotic LSU rRNA
Rfam family: Eukaryotic large subunit ribosomal RNA
Source: RNAcentral